UGAUAACGUAGUGGAUAAUUUUUUGUAUUUGUAAUUUUUUGGAAAUGUUUUUGUAUUUAUGAAAAAGAUUCUCACUCAUGUUCACUUGAGACAGGCUGUGUAGUUAUUCCGAGUCACAGGAGUGUGGCAGCAGGAGAUUGGAGCCCUAUUGUGUAUGACUGUUAAAGAGCACAUGAGAUAAUUAGUUAAUUAGAGCAUUGUUUAAUUAGGUUAAAUAAGUAGAUAUACAUAACCAUGAUUAUCAGCUUGUUUGAUUAAGCAGAAUAAUGCACUUUUUAAAGACUUUAUAUUUGAUAUUUAAGGAAAACAUAAACUUUACUAUGAAGAGCUCUCAGGAUCAAAGCUCAAAAUCCACAACCAGGAAGUUGGGGCAUCCAAGAGCUCUGCCAUCGACUACAGAUUUCAUGCAGCCCCUAGUGUGGAGUGUUGGCUUGUACCAUUACAGUCUGUCCUGCAGGGAGAGAUUUCUGACUUUACUCUCUCACAGCUGUAGAAUCCCGUGCUAAAUAUGUGCAUACUUAUUAUACUCAUUAAGUCAAAAUGCAAUUAAAAUUUUUGUUUCAACUGCAACACUA
Long non-coding RNA from Clarias gariepinus (North African catfish), 575 nucleotides. RefSeq lists it as uncharacterized. The transcript has 2 exons. NCBI's taxonomy places the organism in Eukaryota, Metazoa, Chordata, Actinopteri, Siluriformes, Clariidae. The record is from RefSeq and is a predicted model, not a curated record.